RNAcentral lists this ribosomal RNA (331 nucleotides) under uncultured bacterium. RNAcentral describes it as "partial 16S ribosomal RNA". It matches the Rfam family "Bacterial small subunit ribosomal RNA", at positions 338 to 666 of the family's 1533-position model. The record is from RNAcentral.
CCUACGGGAGGCAGCAGUGAGGAAUAUUGGUCAAUGGGCGGAAGCCUGAACCAGCCAAGUAGCGUGCAGGAUGACGGCCCUACGGGUUGUAAACUGCUUUUAUACGGGAAUAACGCGCCUUACGUGUAGGGCUUUGCAUGUACCGUAUGAAUAAGGACCGGCUAAUUCCGUGCCAGCAGCCGCGGUAAUACGGAAGGUCCGGGCGUUAUCCGGAUUUAUUGGGUUUAAAGGGAGCGUAGGCCGCAUGUCAAGCGUGCUGUGAAAUGUCCGGGCUCAACCCGGGCCUUGCCGCGGGUACUGGCGGGCUGGAGGGCAGGGACAGGAGGCGGAA